RNAcentral lists this ribosomal RNA (497 nucleotides) under uncultured bacterium. RNAcentral describes it as "partial 16S ribosomal RNA". It matches the Rfam family "Bacterial small subunit ribosomal RNA", at positions 28 to 507 of the family's 1533-position model. The record is from RNAcentral.
GACGAACGCUGGCGGCGUGCCUAAUACAUGCAAGUUGAGCGAUGAAGAUUGGUGCUUGCACCAAUUUGAAGAGCAGCGAACGGGUGAGUAACGCGUGGGGAAUCUGCCUUUGAGCGGGGGACAACAUUUGGAAACGAAUGCUAAUACCGCAUAACAACUUUAAACAUAAGUUUUAAGUUUGAAAGAUGCAAUUGCAUCACUCAAAGAUGAUCCCGCGUUGUAUUAGCUAGUUGGUGAGGUAAAGGCUCACCAAGGCGAUGAUACAUAGCCGACCUGAGAGGGUGAUCGGCCACAAUGGGACUGAGACACGGCCCAAACUCCUACGGGAGGCAGCAGUAGGGAAUCUUCGGCAAUGGACGAAAGUCUGACCGAGCAACGCCGCGUGAGUGAAGAAGGGUUUCGGAUCGUAAAACUCUGUUGGUAGAGAAGAACGUUGGUGAGAGUGGAAAGCUCAUCAAGUGACGGUAACUACCCAGAAAGGGACGGCUAACUACGUG